This 232-nucleotide ribosomal RNA is filed under the name uncultured bacterium. RNAcentral describes it as "partial 16S ribosomal RNA". It matches the Rfam family "Bacterial small subunit ribosomal RNA", at positions 15 to 236 of the family's 1533-position model. The record is from RNAcentral.
GAUCAUGGCUCAGGAUGAACGCUAGCUACAGGCUUAACACAUGCAAGUCGAGGGGAAACGACAUCGAAAGCUUGCUUUUGAUGGGCGUCGACCGGCGCACGUGUGAGUAACGCGUAUCCAACCUGCCCAUCACUUGGGAAUAACCUUGCGAAAGUAAGACUAAUGCCCAAUGGUACCCCACGAAGGCAUCCGAAUGGGAUUAAAGAUUUAUCGGUGAUGGAUGGGGAUGCAU